AGACCCGAAACCCGGUGAUCUAGCCAUGGGCAGGUUGAAGGUUGGGUAACACUAACUGGAGGACCGAACCGACUAAUGUUGAAAAAUUAGCGGAUGACCUGUGGCUGGGGGUGAAAGGCCAAUCAAACCGGGAGAUAGCUGGUUCUCCCCGAAAGCUAUUUAGGUAGCGCCUCGUGAAUUCAUCUCCGGGGGUAGAGCACUGUUUCGGCUAGGGGGCCAUCCCGGCUUACCAACCCGAUGCAAACUGCGAAUACCGGAGAAUGUUAUCACGGGAGACACACGGCGGGUGCUAACGUCCGUCGUGAAGAGGGAAACAACCCAGACCGCCAGCUAAGGUCCCAAAGUCAUGGUUAAGUGGGAAACGAUGUGGGAAGGCCCAGACAGCCAGGAUGUUGGCUUAGAAGCAGCCAUCAUUUAAAGAAAGCGUAAUAGCUCACUGGUCGAGUCGGCCUGCGCGGAAGAUGUAACGGGGCUAAACCAUGCACCGAAGCUGCGGCAGCGACGCUUAUGCGUUGUUGGGUAGGGGAGCGUUCUGUAAGCCUGUGAAGGUGGCCUGUGAGGGUUGCUGGAGGUAUCAGAAGUGCGAAUGCUGACAUAAGUAACGAUAAAGCGGGUGAAAAGCCCGCUCGCCGGAAGACCAAGGGUUCCUGUCCAACGUUAAUCGGGGCAGGGUGAGUCGACCCCUAAGGCGAGGCCGAAAGGCGUAGUCGAUGGGAAACGGGUUAAUAUUCCCGUACUUGGUGUUACUGCGAAGGGGGGACGGAGAAGGCUAUGUUGGCCGGGCGACGGUUGUCCCGGUUUAAGCGUGUAGGUGUGUGUUCCAGGUAAAUCCGGUUCACUUUAACACUGAGGCGUGACGACGAGGCACUACGGUGCUGAAGCAACAAAUGCCCUGCUUCCAGGAAAAGCCUCUAAGCAUCAGGUAACAUCAAAUCGUACCCCAAACCGACACAGGUGGUCAGGUAGAGAAUACCAAGGCGCUUGAGAGAACUCGGGUGAAGGAACUAGGCAAAAUGGUGCCGUAACUUCGGGAGAAGGCACGCUGACACGUAGGUGAAGUGAUUUACUCAUGGAGCUGAAGUCAGUCGAAGAUACCAGCUGGCUGCAACUGUUUAUUAAAAACACAGCACUGUGCAAACACGAAAGUGGACGUAUACGGUGUGACGCCUGCCCGGUGCCGGAAGGUUAAUUGAUGGGGUCAGCGCAAGCGAAGCUCCUGAUCGAAGCCCCGGUAAACGGCGGCCGUAACUAUAACGGUCCUAAGGUAGCGAAAUUCCUUGUCGGGUAAGUUCCGACCUGCACGAAUGGCGUAAUGAUGGCCAGGCUGUCUCCACCCGAGACUCAGUGAAAUUGAACUCGCUGUGAAGAUGCAGUGUACCCGCGGCAAGACGGAAAGACCCCGUGAACCUUUACUAUAGCUUGACACUGAACAUUGAGCCUUGAUGUGUAGGAUAGGUGGGAGGCUUUGAAGUGUGGACGCCAGUCUGCAUGGAGCCGACCUUGAAAUACCACCCUUUAAUGUUUGAUGUUCUAACGUGGACCCGUGAUCCGGGUUGCGGACAGUGUCUGGUGGGUAGUUUGACUGGGGCGGUCUCCUCCUAAAGAGUAACGGAGGAGCACGAAGGUUGGCUAAUCCUGGUCGGACAUCAGGAGGUUAGUGCAAUGGCAUAAGCCAGCUUGACUGCGAGCGUGACGGCGCGAGCAGGUGCGAAAGCAGGUCAUAGUGAUCCGGUGGUUCUGAAUGGAAGGGCCAUCGCUCAACGGAUAAAAGGUACUCCGGGGAUAACAGGCUGAUACCGCCCAAGAGUUCAUAUCGACGGCGGUGUUUGGCACCUCGAUGUCGGCUCAUCACAUCCUGGGGCUGAAGUAGGUCCCAAGGGUAUGGCUGUUCGCCAUUUAAAGUGGUACGCGAGCUGGGUUUAGAACGUCGUGAGACAGUUCGGUCCCUAUCUGCCGUGGGCGCUGGAGAACUGAGGGGGGCUGCUCCUAGUACGAGAGGACCGGAGUGGACGCAUCACUGGUGUUCGGGUUGUCAUGCCAAUGGCACUGCCCGGUAGCUAAAUGCGGAAGAGAUAAGUG
This 2079-nucleotide ribosomal RNA is filed under the name Salmonella enterica subsp. enterica serovar Weltevreden. Its description in RNAcentral is "partial 23S ribosomal RNA". It matches the Rfam family "Bacterial large subunit ribosomal RNA", at positions 711 to 2770 of the family's 2925-position model. The record is from RNAcentral. Lineage: Bacteria; Pseudomonadati; Pseudomonadota; Gammaproteobacteria; Enterobacterales; Enterobacteriaceae.